ACAAUAUUUUGCCGCCUAUAUUGUUUCUGGUUGUUAACAAUUUUUCAGCAUUGUUCAGGCUGAACAAUAUUCUUAACAACCAGGAACAAUAUGGGCAGCAAAAUAUUGUUC
This 111-nucleotide microRNA precursor is filed under the name Paramuricea clavata. The record is from RNAcentral. Lineage: Eukaryota; Metazoa; Cnidaria; Anthozoa; Malacalcyonacea; Plexauridae.